GAUGAACGCUGGCGGCGUGCCUAAUACAUGCAAGUCGAGCGAACAGACGAGGAGCUUGCUCCUCUGACGUUAGCGGCGGACGGGUGAGUAACACGUGGAUAACCUACCUAUAAGACUGGGAUAACUUCGGGAAACCGGAGCUAAUACCGGAUAAUAUAUUGAACCGCAUGGUUCAAUAGUGAAAGACGGUUUUGCUGUCACUUAUAGAUGGAUCCGCGCCGCAUUAGCUAGUUGGUAAGGUAACGGCUUACCAAGGCAACGAUGCCUAGCCGACCUGAGAGGGUGAGCGGCCACACUGGAACUGAGACACGGUCCAGACUCCUACGUGAGGCAGCAGUAGGGAAUCUUCCGCGAUGGGCGAAAGCCUGACGGAGCAACGCCGCGUGAGUGAUGAAGGUCUUCGGGUCGUAAAACUCUGUUAUUAGGGAAGAACAAAUGUGUAAGUAACUAUGCACGUCUUGACGGUACCUAAUCAGAAAGCCACGGCUAACUACGUGCCAGCCGCCGCGGUAA
RNAcentral lists this ribosomal RNA (513 nucleotides) under uncultured bacterium. RNAcentral describes it as "partial 16S ribosomal RNA". It matches the Rfam family "Bacterial small subunit ribosomal RNA", at positions 28 to 523 of the family's 1533-position model. The record is from RNAcentral.